RNAcentral lists this long non-coding RNA (4413 nucleotides) under Triticum aestivum (bread wheat). RNAcentral describes it as "long non-coding RNA (TAES_LNC009053)". The record is from RNAcentral. Lineage: Eukaryota; Viridiplantae; Streptophyta; Magnoliopsida; Poales; Poaceae.
UUUAGGAGUUAACUCACCUGGAGGGAAGAUUACAGUAGAGGCAAUGCGCAGAAAUCAACCAAUAAUAAUCCACAACACCAAAUUUUCAGCAGACCUGCAUGUUAUAGAGAUGUCAGGGUUAGAAAUAAUCCUUGGGAUGGAUUGGUUAGCUGCUAAUGGAGUGAAAGUAGAUUGUGAACUUAAAAGUGUAUCCAUAAGGAAGUCUGAUGGCUCUAGGCUGAUAUAUUUUGGAAGUAGAACCAGACCCAACAAUCCCUUAGUAAUGGUAGCAAGUGGACAAAAGAAAGAAAUAAAGGAUAUACCUGUAGUUUGUGAGUUUCCUGAUGUAUUUCCGGAUGAACUGCCGGGUAUGCCGCCUGAUAGGGAGUUAGAGUUCAGCAUUGUUUUAAUGCCUGGGGCAUCACCUAUCUCCAAAAGACCCUACAAAAUGUCACAUCCGGAGUUAGUGGAGCUAAAGAAACAAUUGGAUGAGCUGAAGGAAAAAGGAUUCAUUAGGGAAAGCAUGUCACCAUGGGGAGCACCGGUAUUAUUUGCAGAGAAAAAGGAUGGAGGGUUGAGGCUAUGCACAGAUUUUCGAGACCUUAACAAGGUAACUGUAAAGAAUAAGUAUCCAUUACCGAGAAUAAAUGAUUUAUUUGAUCAACUCAAGGGUGCAUGUGUCUUCUCAAAAAUUGACUUGAGAUCUGGAUAUCAUCAAAUGAAAGUGAAGGAAGAGGACAUUGAGAAGACGGCAUUUGUGUCUCGGUAUGGACACCAUGAGUACACUGUGGUUCCAUUCGGUCUAACUAAUGCCCCAGCUAUGUUCAUGAACUUGAUGAACAAAAUUUUCAUGCAAUAUCUGGACAAGUUUGUAGUGGUCUUUAUUGAUGACAUAUUAAUAUAUUCAAGAAGCAAGGAAGAGCAUGCUGAACACUUGAGGAUAGCACUUCAAAUCUUAAGAGAGAAUCAGUUGUAUGCAAAAUUUAGUAAGUGUGAGUUUUGGCUGGACCAAGUAGCUUUCUUGGGACACGUAAUUUCAGGAAGAGGAGUUGAGGUUGACCCAUCAAAAAUUGAGACAGUUGUGUCUUGGGCUCGUCCGACCAAUCCAAGUGAGAUAAGGAGUUUCUUGGGCUUUGCUGGGUACUACCGCAGAUUUAUAAAAGGGUUUUCGCAAAUUACAGCACCAAUCACCAAAUUGCUUAGGAAAGAAGCUAAGUUUAUUUGGACUGAAGAGUGUGAGAGAAGUUUUCAGGAACUAAAGAAAAGGUUAACUACCGCACCAGUGUUGGCAUUACCUGAAAGUGGACAAGAUUAUGUGGUGUAUUGUGAUGCUUCAAAAUCUGGACUAGGAUGUGUUCUGAUGCAAAAUGAUAGAGUGAUAGCCUAUGCUUCUAGGCAAUUAAAGACACAUGAAGUAAAUUACCCUACCCAUGACUUGGAGUUGGGAGCUGUUGUGUUUGCACUGAAAAUAUGGAGGCACUACCUAUAUGGUUCUAAGUGCACACUGUACAGCGACCACAAGAGUCUCAAAUACAUAUUUACACAAAAAGAGUUGAACAUGAGGCAGAGGAGGUGGCUGGAACUAAUCAAGGAUUAUGAUCUGACAAUUAACUACCACCCUGGUAAGGCAAAUGUAGUGGCAGAUGCACUUAGUAGAAAGAAGCAAUGCAACCACAUAUCCAUUGAAGGGUAUGGCAAAGAGCUACUGCAGGAUCUUGCAAAGAUGGGAAUAGAGCUGAGAGAGGCCACAUCUAGUGCUAAUAUAGCAGCCAUGACAUUUCACCCCACAUUGCUAGAUCAGAUUAAGGAAAAGCAAGCAAUGGAUGCAUUCAUCAAGGAGGAAACGAGAAGAAUUCAAGCGGGACAGCCUUCACAAUUCAGGUUGGACCAGGAAGGAGUUCUUUGGAACCAUAGUAGGAUCUGUGUGCCAGAUGACCUACAGAUCAAGGAAAUUAUUUUGCAUGAAGCUCAUGACACUUUGUACACUAUCCAUCCUGGGAGCACGAAGAUGUAUAAGGAUGUGAAGGGAAAUUUUUGGUGGCCUGGUAUGAAAAGGGAAAUCGCAGAAUAUGUCAGCAAGUGCGACACUUGUCAAAGGGUAAAAGCAGAACAUCAAAGGCCUGCCGGGUUAUUAAAGCCACUAGAGACACCAGAUUGGAAAUGGGAAGAUCUAUGUAUGGAUUUUAUUACUGGUUUGCCUAUGACACCAAAAAAGAAGGAUGCUAUAUGGGUUGUGGUCGACCGACUCACUAAGUCAGCACACUUCAUUGCCACAAACCAGAAAUAUUCCUUUGAUAAGUUGGCUGAACUGUACUUAGAGAGGAUAGUUACCCUCCAUGGUGUGCCAAAGACCAUAACAUCUGACCGAGGUUCCGUGUUUACAUCAAGCUUUUGGAAGAGCCUACAGAAGUCUCUUGGAACUGAGCUACACUUUAGCACAGCUUAUCAUCCUCAAACCGAUGGCCAGACAGAGCGGGUAAAUCAGAUCCUUGAGGAUAUGUUGAGAGCAUGUGUAAUGAACUUUGGAGAAUCAUGGGAUAAGCAUCUACACUUAGCAGAAUUUGCCUACAAUAACAGUUAUCAAUCCAGCAUACAAAUGGCUCCAUAUGAGGCAUUGUAUGGGAGGAAAUGCAGAUCACCUAUAUGCUGGUAUGAAGUUGGAGAGAGACCAUUACUUGGUCCUGACAUAGUGAGAGAGAAUGAUGAGAAGAUCCAACUAAUCAAAGAACGACUACAGAUUGCACAAAAUAGGCAGAAGAGCUAUGCUGACCCGAAUAGGAGGGUUAUGCAAUUGGCAGUAGGAGACUUGGUUUAUCUAAAGGUAUCACCUAUGAGAGGGGUUCGACGCUUUGGAAUCAAAGGAAAGUUGAGUCCUAGAUAUGUUGGGCCAUUUAAAAUUUUGGAGGAGAAGGGAGCAUCUGCUUAUAAGUUGGAGUUACCGGAACGUUUAUCAAGAAUUCACAAUGUCUUCCACAUAUCUCAACUUAAGAAAUGCAACAAGCCACCACCACAAGUAUCAGACUUGGAGAUUGAAUUACAACCAGACCUGACGUAUGAAGAACGACCAUUGAAGAUCUUAGAAGUUGAAGACCGCAAGCUCAGGACAAGGACCAUUCGGUUCUGCAAAGUGCAAUGGAAGAACCACUCAGUUCGUGAGGCGACGUGGGAGAAGGAGGAAGACCUACGAGUAACCUACCCCAACCUUUUUAAGUAAGUUUUCGAUUUCGAGGAUGAAAUCUUUUUCUAAGGAGGGUAGGAUGUAAUGACCCGUAUUUUUUUCGCAUAGUAAUUCCACUCUUAACUAGAUAAUUAAGUAGAAUCCAUUAAGCAAAUACAUAUCAGAUUUCUUCAACAAGCAUCAUAACCACUCAAGUAUAUAUAUUUAUAUUCAUAAACCUCAGACAGUAUAGCUGUAAAAGUGUAUUACAAAACUUGGGAAAAAAAAUUAGGGAGACCAUGCUAUGCUAAGCUAUAUAGUUGGACCAACACAAAAUAUCUCUGGGUCAACCAGAACAGCAAGACACAUGGACCACCACCCUCACGUGCACCAUAUCAAUAGUCAAUUGGUCAACAGUAUAGUCUAUGUAUGGGCUUCAACCUUCAGCCAAUUAGAAGCUAGCACCUGUGAGAACAAUGGAGAAGAGGAUGGGCAGCCAUACCAGCCAAGGGAGGUGGAUAUCAGAUAUUAGAUGGCAAGGAGAGCAGAGUAAGCAACUGCCAAGUUUCACUCGUCUCAGCUCUACCCAAAAUAGCCAGACCAAGCCCUCUUCUUCCCAGCAACACUAGCAUUCCCCUGUCCAAAACCAACAAAGAUCCAAGAACAAUAAGUGAAGGUGGUGACAUGAGAAAUCAUCAGUAGACUGAAGGGGACAGGCUAGAGCAAGAAGCUAGCCUACUGGACUAGGGUCUGGAGCGUAGGAGCAGCAAGAGUAGGGCCAACAGAGAGAACAGAAGAAGAAAGGUGAGUUCUUCCUCUUCUGCCAGUUCUUAGUACUCACAUACACAAAGAGGCCUAACCCAGAUGCACACACAAUAUUCCUCAAUGGAUUUUCACAAAUGCACAUAAAAGAUAAGCCAUCACAGUAGCAUCACAUCUCAGUUUAGGAAAUAAAAGUAUGAGGAAGAAAGGGGAUACAGCCUCAAAUAACUCAAAUAAAAGGGAUCAGGUUAUUGUACAGUAUCAGCACACCAUAAUCUUGAACAGGGAGUGAUGAACUUGUUCAACACACACAUGUGAGCCAAUUUAAUUUACUAAAUCUGAGAACUUGAACGUAAAAAAAAUUGGGAAGGGAACAAGGCAUCACUAACCUGCACAUAUGUUCGAUCUGCUCCAUGGCCACGCAUUGGAGCUCUAACCUGCACCAUCCAGCAUCACGGCGACGCCCAACACCGACCACUUCAAUCUGGAGCAGGGAAAUCACAUCCCCAAUAGGG